This 401-nucleotide ribosomal RNA is filed under the name bacterium. RNAcentral describes it as "partial 16S ribosomal RNA". It matches the Rfam family "Bacterial small subunit ribosomal RNA", at positions 355 to 776 of the family's 1533-position model. The record is from RNAcentral.
UGGGGAAUUUUGCACAAUGGGGGAAACCCUGAUGCAGCGACGCCGCGUGAUUUAGAAGGCCUUCGGGUUGUAAAAAUCUUUUCUAUGGGAAGAAAAUGACAGUACCAUAGGAAUAAGGACCGGCUAAUUACGUGCCAGCAGCCGCGGUAAUACGUAAGGUCCGAGCGUUGUCCGGAAUCAUUGGGCGUAAAGGGUACGUAGGCGGGUAAGCAAGUUAGAAGUGAAAUCCUAUAGCUCAACUAUAGUAAGCUUUUAAAACUGCUCAUCUUGAGGUAUGGAAGGGAAAGUGGAAUUCCUAGUGUAGCGGUGAAAUGCGCAGAUAUUAGGAGGAAUACCGGUGGCGAAGGCGACUUUCUGCCAUAACCUGACGCUGAGGUACGAAAGCGUGGGUAGCAAACAGG